UCGGGAAUUUUGGGCAAUGGGGGAAACCCUGACCCAGCAACGCCGCGUGAAGGAUGAAGUAUUUCGGUAUGUAAACUUCGAAAGAAUAGGAAGAAUAAAUGACGGUACUAUUUAUAAGGUCCGGCUAACUACGUGCCAGCAGCCGCGGUAAUACGUAGGGACCAAGCGUUGUUCGGAUUUACUGGGCGUAAAGGGCGCGUAGGCGGCAAUUCAAGUCAUCUGUGAAAUCUCCGGGCUUAACUCGGAACGGUCAACUGAUACUGUCACACUAGAGUACAGAAGGGGCAAUCGGAAUUCUUGGUGUAGCGGUGAAAUGCGUAGAUAUCAAGAGGAACACCUGAGGCGAAGGCGGGUUGCUGGGCUGAUACUGACGCUGAGGCGCGAAAGCUAGGGUAGCAAACGGGAUUAGAUACCCAAGUAGUCCCUGAGCGGGCUGGCAAGGCGCAU
Molecule: ribosomal RNA, 447 nt
Filed under: uncultured bacterium
Lineage: Bacteria
Description: bacterial SSU rRNA
Rfam family: Bacterial small subunit ribosomal RNA
Source: RNAcentral